This 494-nucleotide ribosomal RNA is filed under the name Staphylococcus argenteus. Its description in RNAcentral is "partial 23S ribosomal RNA". It matches the Rfam family "Bacterial large subunit ribosomal RNA", at positions 1969 to 2462 of the family's 2925-position model. The record is from RNAcentral. Lineage: Bacteria; Bacillati; Bacillota; Bacilli; Caryophanales; Staphylococcaceae.
UUGUCGGGUAAGUUCCGACCUGCACGAAUGGCGUAAUGAUGGCCAGGCUGUCUCCACCCGAGACUCAGUGAAAUUGAACUCGCUGUGAAGAUGCAGUGUACCCGCGGCAAGACGGAAAGACCCCGUGAACCUUUACUAUAGCUUGACACUGAACAUUGAGCCUUGAUGUGUAGGAUAGGUGGGAGGCUUUGAAGUGUGGACGCCAGUCUGCAUGGAGCCGGCCUUGAAAUACCACCCUUUAAUGUUUGAUGUUCUAACGUGGACCCGUGAUCCGGGUUGCGGACAGUGUCUGGUGGGUAGUUUGACUGGGGCGGUCUCCUCCUAAAGAGUAACGGAGGAGCACGAAGGUUGGCUAAUCCUGGUCGGACAUCAGGAGGUUAGUGCAAUGGCAUAAGCCAGCUUGACUGCGAGCGUGACGGCGCGAGCAGGUGCGAAAGCAGGUCAUAGUGAUCCGGUGGUUCUGAAUGGAAGGGCCAUCGCUCAACGGAUAAAAG